Molecule: ribosomal RNA, 207 nt
Filed under: uncultured bacterium
Lineage: Bacteria
Description: partial 16S ribosomal RNA
Rfam family: Bacterial small subunit ribosomal RNA
Source: RNAcentral
UGCGCAGGUGGCCGCGCAUGUCGAGUGUGAAAUCCCCGAGCUUAACUUGGGAAUUGCGCUCGAAACUAUGUGGCUAGAGUGUGGCAGAGGGAGGUGGAAUUCCACGUGUAGCGGUGAAAUGCGUAGAGAUGUGGAGGAACACCAAUGGCGAAGGCAGCCUCCUGGGCCAACACUGACACUCAUGCACGAAAGCGUGGGGAGCAAACA